Molecule: non-coding RNA, 925 nt
Organism: Punica granatum (pomegranate)
Lineage: Eukaryota; Viridiplantae; Streptophyta; Magnoliopsida; Myrtales; Lythraceae
Source: RefSeq, a predicted model, not a curated record
UCAUUGUUAUCAGAACCGAACCGACCCGGCCGGUUCAAUCGAUCGGACCGAAAAUCGGACCUAUGACCGAUUCGAUUAGCUUAAAAACCGAAAAGUGCAUAAAAAAAUCGAUGAACCCAAAAAACUGGCUGAUUUUUAGAUGAACCCAUAUAACCCAUUUGAACUGGCCGGUUCAUGGGUUCAUAAAUUUUAAACGGAAUCUGACUCGAAUUCUUCCCGACCCGAGCAAAAAUUACAGAAUGCAGACAUUGCAGAGACACGGUUGAAUUGAAUCUGGAAAAAAUCGGAGUCUUCUUCCGGAGUUUCCUCUUCGAGUCUUCCUUCUGCUGUUCUUCAUUAGCUCAUCUUCAGAUCAGAGAAAUUGCAGAGCUCUUGAUUUCCACUGUCAGGGUUUCACACAGCCUCUUCAACUGAAGUCCAUCUGCUGCUGCUUACUGAUCGCCGACCAUCGGUUUUCGGCCGUCUCUUCCUCCAAUUGCUCUGACGCCCUGCUGCUCGUUUAAAGAAUCUGGGGUUGAUCUGCUUAGGUAUGGACUGUUUCCUCCUCACUGUUUCUCUCUCGUAGCACCAAUUCGGUUGGUUCGGAGCUGAGUGUUGUGGGAAAUUUUCUUCCCCCAGUUUCGCCUCAGCUGAUUGUGGGUUCCUAGGGUUUUGCUUGGAUUGAUUUUUGUGUCUGAGCUUUUGGUUUCCCAGUGCUUAGAAGGCAACGAGCUAGCUGGAAGCUAUUGUUUUCUUUUCGAGUGCUUCAUUCUUGUAACAGGAAGCUUUUGAAGCAUUAGCAAUGCACUAUUCAGACCUGAAGUUAACUGAACUAGGAGUUAAUAAUUUCUAUGUUCCUCACGAGUUUAACUGAAUUGAAGUUAACUUGUAUUUUUUUGAACACACUUUAAUUAUUAUCUAAUAUAUAUUACUAUUUUUUGUAUUU